Gopherus agassizii (Agassiz's desert tortoise) is the source of this 1978-nucleotide long non-coding RNA. The record is from Ensembl. NCBI's taxonomy places the organism in Eukaryota, Metazoa, Chordata, Testudines, Testudinidae.
UGGGGAUGGUGGAAAGCUAUUGAACUAAAGGUUANCUAGAGGUUGAAUUGAAUGAACUCCUCAAAGUGGGUGUGCUUGUUCUAGCUCGUUGCUCCAAAGUUCUGUAAUAAGGUUAUUUUAGUAAAAAAGUAUGUGUGGCAUAUAUUAAAUAAUAAGACUAAUGUACUGUAUAAUGGCAAUGUUUACGUGUUCGUUGUUGGAAAAAGGUGUAUAAGUGAAGAGUAAAAGUUUCCUUUGCAGGUUAAAGGAAGCCAAAAAGGAAGAAGAAAAAAAAAAGAACAAAAUGAGUUAACUGAAAAGAAAAAAGAAGCUAGGAGACUGUAAAUAAGACACUGUCUCCAUUCAAGGACACUGCUCACAGCUAAAACUUGGCUAAUAACCAAGGAAAGGGGGGUGGGGCUUGAAUGUGCCCAAGCAGCUAUGAGAUCUGCAAAACACUGCCAGGCACUAAUGAAAUGUGUUAAGUUUCUUUUCUCACAGGUAAAGAAGCGCUACCCAAAGACCGAAUCAGCCCUUGCCUUCCCGGAUGCCCUUCAACUAGCCCUGGCAGGCUUUGUGGGCUCCCUGUCCUAUCAUAUUCAAAAAAAUCCUCGCCUGCAUGCCAUUUGUCACAUUCCCACUGUAUUUUGUAAUUUUUGCCAGCAAACCCCCAUAAUUGAUGCGCUUACAGUAUUCACUGAUGGCUGCCCAACCCGUGGUGUUGUUUCUUGGUGUACUGCCACGCAAUGGCACUCGUGGUUUACCACUCCUCAAACAAGCCCUCAACGGGCAAAACUUGCUACCCUUUGUUUAGCCUUUUCUCAUUUUUCCAUUGUCCCCCUCUUCUGCGCUCCCGGUCUCACCCAUUUUUUAUUGCACAUAUUCAUAGCCAUCUUCCCCUCCCCGGGGUUUUGUCUGAGGGCAACGCUUAUGCUGAUGCACAAGUGCGCAUUUCCUGGGUUCACUCCCUUACCUCCAGCCACGCCUUUCAUCAUCAAAAUGUUAAAGCCCUCGCCCGGAAGUUCUCCAUUCCCUUGGAUANAUUCCCUUGGAUGAGGCUAAAGCUGUUGUUCAACAAUGCCCACAAUGUUCCUCUCUCCGCUCUUACCCCCCCACCGGCGUCAAUCCCCGCGGUCUCGGCGCCAAUCAGCUUUGGCAGAUGGAUGUCACACGUUUUCCCCCUUUUUCCCCUUGGAAUUUUCUUCAUGUUACUGUUGACACUUACUCAGGUUACCUUUGGGCCACACCCCACAAAGGAGAACGUGUUCGACACGUUAUCCACCAUUUUGUUCGUUGCUUUUCUGUUAUGGGCAUCCCGGCCAAGCUCAAAACAGAUAAUGGGCCAGCUUACUGCUCUCAACAAAUUGCUGCCUUCUGCUCCCGUUGGGGCGGGCCAAGCUAUCGUUGAGCGCGCAAAUCGUACCCUCAAAACAGCUCUCCUCCAACAAAAAAACAAAAGGGGGAAUCCCGCCCACGCUGCCCGACAAGGAGGUGUGGUUAGCACAUGUUCUUUAUACAAUCAAUUAUUUAAAUCUUGUUUUUGAUGGUGCCCAUUAUAUCUCCCAUUUACAGAAACACUUUAGGUGCAAGGAAGAACUCCCCGCCCCUAAAGUAACGUAUAGACAACUCCCUGGAACCUCGUGGAGUGCCCCAGUCCCCUUGAUUACCUGGGGGCGGGGGUACGCAGCCGUUAACAUACCUAAGGGGCCUGUGUGGGUCCCAGCCCGUUACAUCCGUCCGUGAAAAGAGGACCCCACAGGCGGCCCGCAGCAUGGCGUGGCACCAGGGUCUUAACAAUCCCAUUCCUGAUUUCAAUCAGUUAUUAACAACAACAGUUACGCUGUCUCAAGAACGGCGCCGCAGUACUCCCAAUGCACCAGUGACGUGGGUACAAACAAAGUCCCUCCCACAGCAAGCUGAGCGUCUGCUGGAACAGCAAGAAAAGGAGAAAACCCCAAAGAAUUUGUUAACUGCUUUUAUUGCUUGCCUAAAUGCUAAA